AUUGUUUCAUAAUAAAAUUGCUUGACUGAAAACCCUUUUAUAAUUGUCGUUUUUUCUUUUCAGGCCUUGUUCGACAGUGGAAUAAGACCAUCCUCCAAGAUCAGUGAGUUGAAAGAUGAGCAUAUUCAUCACCUCCUGAAGAUGACCAGGGACUUUACAGAAAUCUUCUAUAGGUGUAGAAGAGAUGGAAAGCCCUUAGCCCCCUAUUACAAGGUCUAUGGAAAGCGUAAGUGUGGUCAGUGUGAGGGAAGGGUUAUUAUUUGUCGCCUUGGUGAUGACAGUGACCGGGUUACUUACUACUGUGAACCGUGCCAGACUAACGACCUGAGCAAGCAGAGAAAGCUUCCAUCAAAGAACAGUUUGCUGGGUUGGGUGAAAACAGGAAGUGAUGUCCAUCACGUCUGAUAAUGCUCAAUGGACAUGCACAUAUUGCACAUUGAUCAAUAUGCCAACCAGUAUGUCGUGCAGUGCUUGUCUGAAUGCCAAAACAUCUGGGAAGUCAUCCUGUUCACCAUCAUCUGCUAGUGGGCAAAGUGGAAAUGUUUCUACUUGUGCUUUGCUAUCUAGUAAUGUCCAAAAUGCUCAUAAAGACAACAAAAGAAAGUCUUCAGAUACUUAUAGCUCAGAGGUAAAAACUAAAGUGCCAAAGUUGGAAAGUGAUGUUGGUGGAGCACGUGUAAAUUAUCCAUACAAUUUAAAUCAAACACAGGCAUCACACCAGAACCAAGCACAUGUGCUGGCAGCUCCCCCAGCAAACAGUCAAAAGAAAAGCGGUGUAAAUGGCAAAUCAACAGCUGCUGAAAAGACUAGCAAUCCUCAGAAGGUAGAGUCAGAUUGUAAAAUACCAUCAUGUUCAACACACCAGAAAAAGUGUAGCAUGAAGGAAGUAAGGAAGGAAGGUCAGAACAAAGGGAGAUGGUUCUUCACCUGCAAUGUGCGCACAUGCAAUUUC
Molecule: long non-coding RNA, 952 nt
Organism: Dreissena polymorpha
Lineage: Eukaryota; Metazoa; Mollusca; Bivalvia; Myida; Dreissenidae
Exons: 4
Source: RefSeq, a predicted model, not a curated record